AGAGUUGAUCCUGGCUCAGAUUGAACGCUGGCGGCAGGCCUAACACAUGCAAGUCGAGCGGUAGAGAGGUGCUUGCACCUCUUGAGAGCGGCGGACGGGUGAGUAAAGCCUAGGAAUCCGCCUGGUAGUGGGGGAUAACGCUCGGAAACGGACGCUAAUACCGCAUACGUCCUACGGGAGAAAGCAGGGGACCUUCGGGCCUUGCGCUAUCAGAUGAGCCUAGGUCGGAUUAGCUAGUUGGUGAGGUAAUGGCUCACCAAGGCGACGAUCCGUAACUGGUCUGAGAGGAUGAUCAGUCACACUGGAACUGAGACACGGUCCAGACUCCUACGGGAGGCAGCAGUGGGGAAUAUUGGACAAUGGGCGAAAGCCUGAUCCAGCCAUGCCGCGUGUGUGAAGAAGGUCUUCGGAUUGUAAAGCACUUUAAGUUGGGAGGAAGGGCAUUAACCUAAUACGUUAGUGUUUUGACGUUACCGACAGAAUAAGCACCGGCUAACUCUGUGCCAGCAGCC
This 512-nucleotide ribosomal RNA is filed under the name uncultured Pseudomonas sp. Its description in RNAcentral is "bacterial SSU rRNA". It matches the Rfam family "Bacterial small subunit ribosomal RNA", at positions 8 to 516 of the family's 1533-position model. The record is from RNAcentral. Lineage: Bacteria; Pseudomonadati; Pseudomonadota; Gammaproteobacteria; Pseudomonadales; Pseudomonadaceae.